Molecule: unclassified non-coding RNA, 105 nt
Filed under: Dellaglioa algida
Lineage: Bacteria; Bacillati; Bacillota; Bacilli; Lactobacillales; Lactobacillaceae
Description: Lactobacillus algidus yybP-ykoY
Source: RNAcentral
AAAGAAAUCAUAGGGGAGUAACUAGCGGUUUAACCGCGGCAAUGUCACCAACAAGAAAGUUCUUUUUCUGGUAUUGCCUUAAAUAGUGAGACUUAUGUAUGUUCA